Molecule: ribosomal RNA, 253 nt
Filed under: uncultured bacterium
Lineage: Bacteria
Description: partial 16S ribosomal RNA
Rfam family: Bacterial small subunit ribosomal RNA
Source: RNAcentral
UACGGAGGGUGCAAGCGUUGUCCGGAUUUACUGGGCGUAAAGGAUGCGUAGGCGGACAUUUAAGUCAGAGGUGAAAUCCCAGGGCUCAACCUUGGAACUGCCUUUGAAACUCCUGGUCUUGAGGUCGAGAGAGGUGAGUGGAAUUCCGAGUGUAGAGGUGAAAUUCGUAGAUAUUCGGAGGAACACCAGUGGCGAAGGCGGCUCACUGGCUCGAUACUGACGCUGAGGUGCGAAAGCGUGGGGAGCAAACAGG